This 68-nucleotide transfer RNA is filed under the name marine eukaryotic metagenome. It matches the Rfam family "tRNA". Rfam says of the family: Transfer RNA (tRNA) molecules are approximately 80 nucleotides in length. The record is from RNAcentral.
CCAGUAGCUCAACUGGUAGAGCAGCUGACUCUUAAUCAGUUGGUUGAGGGUUCGAGUCCUUCCUGGCC